UUUAACCCCAGAGAAGAGCA
Molecule: transfer RNA, 20 nt
Filed under: Cinnyris mediocris (Eastern double-collared sunbird)
Lineage: Eukaryota; Metazoa; Chordata; Aves; Passeriformes; Nectariniidae
Also listed under: 10 other names
Description: partial tRNA-Gly
Source: RNAcentral